Long non-coding RNA from Oreochromis aureus, 1726 nucleotides. The record is from Ensembl. Lineage: Eukaryota; Metazoa; Chordata; Actinopteri; Cichliformes; Cichlidae.
CAUGUACUCAAUAAACUUUAUUAAUUUUAUUCAUUUCCAGCUCUGCUAACAGGAUGAAAGGUGGAAAUGCAUUAGAACAACACUGGAACAACAUUAUUACAAAAUACAUCCAGCUCAAAAAGAAAAAAAAACCCUUUUACAUGCAGGUAAAUGAAAGUUAGCUUGACCUCUUUACUACAUACAGCUGGACGGAUAAAAUCAUACAGAAAACAUAAGAAAAUAACAUGAUUCUCCUGUUCCAUCCCGUUUCAUACAUGUUUCACUUUUAUAGACGGGGACAGAGAAAACCAGUGACUGCAGAUGUGCCCUUUUUCUUUGAAGAUUGAAAGCCUUUGUGUGGUUGCUGAGCAAAAACAGUACAUGGCACUUAUUAAUCUAGCAAUUCAACCAGUCUUUGUCCCAAUAGCAGACAGAAAAGACAAAUGCUGUGCUAUGCAGGCAUUAUUAUUACCCUCACUAAGUAGGUGGAACCUGUUGCUGUUUGUUCAUCUGAACAAAAGAAGGUUUGCAGAAAAAAAACAAGUUAAACUUCAUGAAACUUGGUGGAGAGAUGGAAUUAAGGGCAUUAAGGUUUGACUUUUUAGAAAAAUAUCUACAUUUUUUAAAUUAUUUACUCUUAUCAUUACUGAAAUAACAUGGUUCAGUUUUGGGAAAGAAAUCUGAUGUCUACAUUUUUUAAAAACUACAGAAAAUCUCCACAGUAGUUUAAGUCACAUCUAAGGAAACCGUCAUCUUCCUCAAACUUUAACUAAAGAACUUUUUUGCCUAUUGUGACAACUCCUUCCACCCCAACCUCCUCCAGCUAUUAACAAACAUGUUAUCAGGUGAUCCUCAGAUUUUUAAGAGCACUGAACCUUAGACUUAACUUACAUUACAUGAUCACCCUGAAUUAGAUAAGCAGAUGAAAAUGGAUGUAUGGAUGGAUGCAUCCAUCCAUCCAUUCGCUUCCGCUUAUCCUUUUCAGGGUCGCGGGGGGCGCUGGAGCCUAUCCCAGCUGUCAUAGGGCGAGAGGCGGGGUACACCCUGGACAGGUCGCCAGUCUGUCGCAGGGCCAACACACAGGGACAGACAACCAUUCACACUCACAUUCACUCGCACAUUCACACCUAGUGACAAUUUCGAUUAUCCAAUUAACCUAUCCCCACAAGCUGCAUGUCUUUGGACGGUGGGAGGAAGCCGAGACCCGGAGGGAACCCACGCAAACACGGGGAGAACAUGCAAACUCCACACAGAAAGACCCUGGCCUGAUGGUGGAAUUGAACUCAGGACCUUCUUGCUGUGCGGCAACAGUGCUAACCACCGUGCUGCCCGUGGAUGCAUCACAACUUGGACCGUGGAUGCAUCACAACUUAAUUAAAAACAGUAUUAGUAACAUAUGAAUGUAAUUUAUUGUAGACAGGCUUGGAAAUUAAAUGCACUGACAAUUGCAUGUUAAAGGCACUGAUGUGCGGCAAACCUCCUGGAAAAUCCUCAAGGAUAACCACAGUCCUGUCAUUGGAACAGAGGCCUUUAAACACAACUUAAAAACAGCAACAUGGUGACAAUGUCAAAUAAAAAUCUUUUGUGACAAACCAAAAGCCUUUGAAAUAAAAAGGCACUGAUAUGGAACGUCUUCCCUUCACAUCUGCUGUGGUUUUAAAGGUAUAAUUCAUAUUAUAUAUAUAUAUAUAUAUAUAUAUAUAUACAUAUAUAUAUAUAUAUAUAUAUAUAUAUAUAUAUAUAUAUA